UCUUCACAGGUGAAUUCAAAAGACGUGCCUGAUUAUUCCCGCAAGCCAAUCAGCGAUCUUAAGUACUUCUUCAAAAGCAAAAAAGAUAAGUAAAGCUUUUACAUUCCUCACAUCAAGACUGCUGCACCUUAAGGCAGAUAUGUUGUGCCUGCCUCCUCUUUUGAUUCUAUCUGGGAACUGUUGUUGACCAUAAAACUCCUAAUGGGUUCUUGUAUUAUAAUUCUCUAUGCUCAAGCUAAAUGGGUUUAUAAUCUACAUAGGGUAACCUUUCCAUCUUAAAGGGUACACCAGUCACAGUUGGUUUUGUUCCAGUUUUGCUUAUGCUAAUUAACAAACAUAUGUUUCAGAACUCAGCAACUUCUGGGAUUAACUGACCAUGCAGGGGACACAACUAUGAUGGUGACCCAGACUAUUCCAGCUCAUAAAAUGAAUUUGUUAGAUGAGAUGAGAUGUUAGAUAGGACAGGCAGGGCCUGCACUACGCCCCUCAUCAGCAGGAAGCAGCUAUAGAGGAUAUGAUGAUUCUAUGCCCUUCAAAAUCCCUUCAGAUGAAGGGAAUGGAGUCUCUGAGGGGGGAAUGAUGUAGGCAGGCAGAUACACAAUCAGGCCCAUCUACCAAUCAGGCUACAUGACCACACCCCUUUGGAAGUGGAACACAGUGGGCCUGGCCCUUACUCUCCAUGCCCUGGAUUCUCUUGACCUGUGCCUUUGAGGAGUGUGGCCUUUGGGGUGCGUGGCCUUUGGGCCAACUGCUCUCCUCACCUUCGCUUAGUCGUGCUAAGCUUCUUAUGGCUGUUCGUAACCAAACACUUGCUGUGCAUGGCUCUUGGCCUGCUCUCUGCUUGGGUAGAAAUUAUUGAACUCCAGAAAAAUCAACUCUUUUAUCUACCUUUGACUUAAGAUUAAAUCCAUUACAGGACCAGUACGUUAAAGUAUGUAUGCAUUGAAUUCUAUUCAUUGAAUAUAAUGAUAAUAUUUUUGACUUGAUAAUUAUUUGGUUAUAAUCAUAAAAUCAAUUCUGUAUAAGUAUUG
This 1031-nucleotide long non-coding RNA is filed under the name Oryctolagus cuniculus (rabbit). Its description in RNAcentral is "lncRNA (ENSOCUG00000038372.1)". Lineage: Eukaryota; Metazoa; Chordata; Mammalia; Lagomorpha; Leporidae. The record is from RNAcentral.